RNAcentral lists this ribosomal RNA (236 nucleotides) under uncultured bacterium. Its description in RNAcentral is "partial 16S ribosomal RNA". It matches the Rfam family "Bacterial small subunit ribosomal RNA", at positions 328 to 539 of the family's 1533-position model. The record is from RNAcentral.
ACGCUCGACACCUACGGAGGCAGCAGUGAGGAAUAUUGGUCAAUGGACGCAAGUCUGAACCAGCCAUGCCGCGUGCAGGAUGACGGCUCUAUGAGUUGUAAACUGCUUUUGUACGAGGGUAAACGCAGAUACGUGUAUCUGUCUGAAAGUAUCGUACGAAUAAGGAUCGGCUAACUCCGUGCCAGCGACGCCGGUAGGUAAUUCGUAGGACGGGCCGGGUCGUCGGAACGAACGGC